ACGGGAGGCAGCAGUGGGGGAUAUUGCGCAAUGGGGGAAACCCUGAUGUAGCGACGCCGCGUGAAGGAAGAAGUAUCUCGGUAUGUAAACUUCUAUCAGCAGGGAAGAUAAUGACGGUACCUGACUAAGAAGCCCCGGCUAACUACGUGCCAGCAGCCGCGGUAAUACGUAGGGGGCAAGCGUUAUCCGGAUUUACUGGGUGUAAAGGGAGCGUAGACGGAAUGGCAAGUCUGGUGUGAAAGGCAUGGGCUCAACCCGUGGACUGCACUGGAAACUGUCGUUCUUGAGUGCCGGAGGGGUAAGCGGAAUUCCUAGUGUAGCGGUGAAAUGCGUAGAUAUUAGGAGGAACACCAGUGGCGAAGGCGGCUUACUGGACGGUAACUGACGUUGAGGCUCGAAAGCGUGGGGAGCAAACAGGAUUAGAUAC
This 427-nucleotide ribosomal RNA is filed under the name uncultured Blautia sp. RNAcentral's name for it is "partial 16S ribosomal RNA". It matches the Rfam family "Bacterial small subunit ribosomal RNA", at positions 341 to 785 of the family's 1533-position model. The record is from RNAcentral. Lineage: Bacteria; Bacillati; Bacillota; Clostridia; Lachnospirales; Lachnospiraceae.